This 243-nucleotide ribosomal RNA is filed under the name uncultured bacterium. Its description in RNAcentral is "partial 16S ribosomal RNA". It matches the Rfam family "Bacterial small subunit ribosomal RNA", at positions 524 to 765 of the family's 1533-position model. The record is from RNAcentral.
UACGGGGGGGGCAAGCGUUGUUCGGAAUUACUGGGCGUAAAGGGCGCGUAGGUGGCCAACUAAGUCAGACGUGAAAUCCCUCGGCUUAACCGGGGAACUGCGUCUGAUACUGGAUGGCUUGAGUUUGGGAGAGGGACGCGGAAUUCCAGGUGUAGCGGUGAAAUGCGUAGAUAUCUGGAGGAACACCGGUGGCGAAGGCGGCGUCCUGGACCAAUACUGACACUGGAAACGCGAAAGCCAGGG